RNAcentral lists this ribosomal RNA (504 nucleotides) under uncultured bacterium. Its description in RNAcentral is "bacterial SSU rRNA". It matches the Rfam family "Bacterial small subunit ribosomal RNA", at positions 1 to 518 of the family's 1533-position model. The record is from RNAcentral.
CGAAGCGUACCAUUGAUCAUGGAAUGAAGUUGGAGAGCUUGCUCAAAGAUGGAAUGAAGUAGGAUUUGGAUUCUGCGCUUAGUGGCGAACGGGUGAGUAACACGUGGGUAAUCUGCCUUCAAGUUGGGGAUAACAGUUAGAAAUGAUUGCUAAUAUCGAAUGUGCUAGUAAUAGUAAAGAUGCUCCAAAGCAUCGCUUGAAGAUGAGCCUGCGGUGUAUUAGCUAGUUGGUGGGGUAAUGGCCUACCAAGGCGACGAUGCAUAGCCGGACUGAGAGGUUGAACGGCCACACUGGGACUGAGACACGGCCCAGACUCCUACGGGAGACAGCAGUUAGGAAUAUUCGGCAAUGGGCGAAAGCCUGACCGAGCAAUGCCGCGUGUGAGAUGAAGGUCCUUUGGAUUGUAAAUCACUUUUAUUUGGGAAGAACAGUAGGUAUAGGAAAUGAUACUUAUUUGACGGUACCUUUUGAAUAAGCCCCGGCUAACUACGUGCCAGCCGCAGC